AACAAUGAACAUAUUGGAUAUUAAAUAAGGAGAUUAUCAUUUCCUUUAAAAAAUGAAUAGUGUAAAUUGAAUUGCAUGAAAGGGUUAUCGUUCCUAUUCAAAAGGUGAAGGAGGUAUACUCAAUCAUUAAUAGUUUAGGGGGUACUCUAAAAUUUACUCGUAGUUUUAUGACUAGCAAGUUUCAUUCUUCGGGACGUUACUAGACACUAGCUAUAAAGUCAAUGUAAAAUAAGAAUACAUAUCACCUUAACUAUAUUUUUUUAGAAGCGCUUAUAUGCAAAACACAUCUUAUUGUAUUCAUUUUCUUGGUGCAAACAACGCCAAUAAAUUCUUUCCUUAGUGAAGAGGGGAACUCCCUUGAAAAUACUAUGACAUCAAACCUAUGUUGACUUCACUAAGUAUAAUACACCCAACCAACACUACCUCCAAAAGAUGAGUGGUUUAGAACCCACACACUAAAAUACAAAGCACAUUCAUUAUAUUAUAUUAAAAGAAAUGUAAGAAGGUAUAGUUAAUUCACAAGCUAUAGCAUCAAAAAAGUGACAAUAAGCAAACCACCCGUGACACAUUAGAGUACAAAAAAGAUGAUGCUUUUGCAGAAUUAUUCUUUUUUUUUUUUUUUUUCCUUUUUGGGGUACAAUUUCUUGAUACAAACACUGUCGGCAGAAACAAACUUAAAUACAAAUGAAAAAAUUGAUAGGUAAUUACAGUAUUUAUCACAAAA
This is a long non-coding RNA of Lycium ferocissimum, 724 nucleotides long. RefSeq lists it as uncharacterized. NCBI's taxonomy places the organism in Eukaryota, Viridiplantae, Streptophyta, Magnoliopsida, Solanales, Solanaceae. The record is from RefSeq and is a predicted model, not a curated record. The transcript is spliced from 2 exons.